This 75-nucleotide transfer RNA is filed under the name Caerostris extrusa. Its description in RNAcentral is "tRNA-Val". It matches the Rfam family "tRNA". Rfam says of the family: Transfer RNA (tRNA) molecules are approximately 80 nucleotides in length. Their secondary structure includes four short double-helical elements and three loops (D, anti-codon, and T loops). Further hydrogen bonds mediate the characteristic L-shaped molecular structure. tRNAs have two regions of fundamental functional importance: the anti-codon, which is responsible for specific mRNA codon recognition, and the 3' end, to which the tRNAs corresponding amino acid is attached (by aminoacyl-tRNA synthetases). tRNAs cope with the degeneracy of the genetic code in two manners: having more than one tRNA (with a specific anti-codon) for a particular amino acid; and 'wobble' base-pairing, i.e. permitting non-standard base-pairing at the 3rd anti-codon position. Lineage: Eukaryota; Metazoa; Arthropoda; Arachnida; Araneae; Araneidae. The record is from RNAcentral.
GGUUCCGUAGUGUAGUGAGAUUUAUCACGUUCGCUUCACACGCGAAAGGUCCCGGUUCGAUCCCGGGCGGAACCA